RNAcentral lists this ribosomal RNA (90 nucleotides) under Lycianthes rantonnetii. The record is from RNAcentral. Lineage: Eukaryota; Viridiplantae; Streptophyta; Magnoliopsida; Solanales; Solanaceae.
GAUCCCAUCAGAACUCCGAAGUUAAGCGUGCUUGGGCGAGAGUAGUACUAGGAUGGGUGACCCCCAGGGAAGUCCUCGUGUUGCAUCCCU